RNAcentral lists this ribosomal RNA (468 nucleotides) under uncultured bacterium. Its description in RNAcentral is "partial 16S ribosomal RNA". It matches the Rfam family "Bacterial small subunit ribosomal RNA", at positions 28 to 507 of the family's 1533-position model. The record is from RNAcentral.
GACGAACGCUGGCGGCGUGCUUAACACAUGCAAGUCGAACGGAAAGGCCCUGCUUUUGUGGGGUGCUCGAGUGGCGAACAGGUGAGUAACACGUGAGUAACCUGCCCUUGACUUUGGGAUAACUUCAGGAAACUGGGGCUAAUACCGGAUAGGAGCUCCUGCUGCAUGGUGGGGGUUGGAAAGUUUCGGCGGUUGGGGAUGGACUCGCGGCUUAUCAGCUUGUUGGUGGGGUAGUGGCUUACCAAGGCUUUGACGGGUAGCCGGCCUGAGUGGGUGACCGGCCACAUUGGGACUGAGAUACGGCCCAGACUCCUACGGGAGGCAGCAGUGGGGAAUAUUGCACAAUGGGCGGAAGCCUGAUGCAGCAACGCCGCGUGCGGGAUGACGGCCUUCGGGUUGUAAACCGCUUUCGCCUGUGACGAAGCGUGAGUGACGGUAAUGGGUAAAGAAGCACCGGCUAACUACGUG